Non-coding RNA from Cyanistes caeruleus (blue tit), 441 nucleotides. The record is from RefSeq and is a predicted model, not a curated record. Lineage: Eukaryota; Metazoa; Chordata; Aves; Passeriformes; Paridae.
UACUUUUUUCAAGUGUCUGGGUUUUCCAUGAGUCUGUAUUACUGCAUGGUUUCUGAGGAUUUUGUCUUUGUAAUUUAGGCCUCUGGACUGGCUUCCUUUCUGUGAGGGGAUGUAGGAGAGGUCACGUCUGUGGAAAAUGGUUGUAGAUGCUUGCCACUGUAGGAUUCUGCAUGUUAGGUUGGAGGUCCUGUCUAUGCUGUUAUGGCCCACAUGCAACACUGGCAAGACUAAAGACAAAUAUUUUUCAUAUGGACUCAGGUUGGGACACAGCUGAUUGACUGUGCUCAGGCAACCAGGAAAUCUGCUGGUUAGUGCUGGUGUGCCUUAGUGACAGGGAAUGGAAGAGAAGGGCUGCCCUAUGGUCUUACAUGCUGGAAAUACAUGGUAAUGUUUGUGAGUUACUAACUGGGAAGGUAUGUGCUGCUCUUCCAGGAAGAUUGA